RNAcentral lists this ribosomal RNA (595 nucleotides) under uncultured Bacteroidota bacterium. RNAcentral describes it as "bacterial SSU rRNA". It matches the Rfam family "Bacterial small subunit ribosomal RNA", at positions 122 to 715 of the family's 1533-position model. The record is from RNAcentral. Lineage: Bacteria; Pseudomonadati; Bacteroidota.
CAACCUGCCCAUCACUUGGGGAUAACCUUGCGAAAGUAAGACUAAUACCCAAUGAUAUCUCUAGAAGACAUCUGAAGGAAAUUAAAGAUUUAUCGGUGAUGGAUGGGGAUGCGUCUGAUUAGCUUGUUGGCGGGGUAACGGCCCACCAAGGCGACGAUCAGUAGGGGUUCUGAGAGGAAGGUCCCCCACAUUGGAACUGAGACACGGUCCAAACUCCUACGGGAGGCAGCAGUGAGGAAUAUUGGUCAAUGGACGAGAGUCUGAACCAGCCAAGUAGCGUGCAGGAUGACGGCCCUAUGGGUUGUAAACUGCUUUUAUAAGGGAAUAAAGUGAGUCUCGUGAGACUUUUUGCAUGUACCUUAUGAAUAAGGACCGGCUAAUUCCGUGCCAGCAGCCGCGGUAAUACGGAAGGUCCGGGCGUUAUCCGGAUUUAUUGGGUUUAAAGGGAGCGUAGGCCGGAGAUUAAGCGUGUUGUGAAAUGUAGACGCUCAACGUCUGCACUGCAGCGCGAACUGGUUUCCUUGAGUACGCACAAAGUGGGCGGAAUUCGUGGUGUAGCGGUGAAAUGCUUAGAUAUCACGAAGAACUCCGAUUG